GGAGGAAGACUAUGCAGGGGCGUGCAGACUGCGCGGUGGGCGCACGUCAGGAAGCAGAGGCUGCACACCUCUCACCUGUGCUCUCGGAGGAGCUGCGGAUGCCGCCCUGGAGGCGUCCGAGGACCCCGCCUGAAGCCUUUCAGGAUGAACCCGGGAGCCUCUGUGGAGGCCGUGCUGUCGGCCCGAGAACCGUCUGCCUCCCUCCUUCCCGGCUCUCUCAUCUCCUACCUCUUGCCAGCCCCACCACAUCCUUCAGCCCCAUAGAAGUAUUUUCUGUUCCCUGAGCAUGACAUGCUGCCCCUGGAAACACUCUAGCUGCUCUUUAAGACCUGAGCUUUGAUGUUACCACCGCUAUGAAGAACUCACAGCGGCCAAGCCGGCUCUCAGAGCAGAACAAUGGGAAACGCAGUGACCUGAGCCAGCGGAGGAUGCGGGCUUCCACCUCUCUCUGUGCCUCCACUU
Long non-coding RNA from Manis pentadactyla (Chinese pangolin), 462 nucleotides. RefSeq lists it as uncharacterized. The record is from RefSeq and is a predicted model, not a curated record. The transcript is spliced from 3 exons. Lineage: Eukaryota; Metazoa; Chordata; Mammalia; Pholidota; Manidae.